RNAcentral lists this ribosomal RNA (253 nucleotides) under uncultured bacterium. Its description in RNAcentral is "partial 16S ribosomal RNA". It matches the Rfam family "Bacterial small subunit ribosomal RNA", at positions 524 to 776 of the family's 1533-position model. The record is from RNAcentral.
UACAGAGGUCCCGGGCGUUGUUCGGAUUCACUGGGCGUAAAGGGUGCGUAGGUGGCUGGGAAAGUUUGAUGUGAAAGCUCAGGGCUUAACCCUGAAAUGGCAUUGAAUACUACUUAGCUGGAGGUUUGGAGGGGGGACUGGAAUUCUUGGUGUAGCAGUGAAAUGCGUAGAUAUCAAGAGGAACACCAGUGGCGAAGGCGAGUCCCUGGACAACACCUGACACUGAGGCACGAAAGCUAGGGGAGCAAACAGG